Molecule: ribosomal RNA, 253 nt
Filed under: uncultured bacterium
Lineage: Bacteria
Description: partial 16S ribosomal RNA
Rfam family: Bacterial small subunit ribosomal RNA
Source: RNAcentral
UACGUAGGGCGCAAGCGUUAUCCGGAAUUAUUGGGCGUAAAGAGCUCGUAGGCGGUUUGUCGCGUCUGCUGUGAAAACCUAAGGCUCAACCUUGGGCUUGCAGUGGGUACGGGCAGACUAGAGUGCGGUAGGGGUGACUGGAAUUCCUGGUGUAGCGGUGGAAUGCGCAGAUAUCAGGAGGAACACCGAUGGCGAAGGCAGGUCACUGGGCCGCAACUGACGCUGAGGAGCGAAAGCGUGGGGAGCGAACAGG